CAGCCGCCACGGUAAUACGUAGGUCCCGAGCGUUGUCCGGAUUUAUUGGGCGUAAAGCGAGCGCAGGCGGUUAGAUAAGUCUGAAGUUAAAGGCUGUGGCUUAACCAUAGUACGCUUUGGAAACUGUUUAACUUGAGUGCAAGAGGGGAGAGUGGAAUUCCAUGUGUAGCGGUGAAAUGCGUAGAUAUAUGGAGGAACACCGGUGGCGAAAGCGGCUCUCUGGCUUGUAACUGACGCUGAGGCUCGAAAGCGUGGGGAGCAAACAGGAUUAGAUACCCGAGUAGUCCCUGUCUCUUAUACA
RNAcentral lists this ribosomal RNA (301 nucleotides) under uncultured bacterium. RNAcentral describes it as "partial 16S ribosomal RNA". It matches the Rfam family "Bacterial small subunit ribosomal RNA", at positions 509 to 808 of the family's 1533-position model. The record is from RNAcentral.